This is a long non-coding RNA of Hyla sarda, 380 nucleotides long. RefSeq lists it as uncharacterized. The record is from RefSeq and is a predicted model, not a curated record. Lineage: Eukaryota; Metazoa; Chordata; Amphibia; Anura; Hylidae. The transcript is spliced from 4 exons.
CGCAACUAUUCACUUCAAAUCUUUUCAUGGGUACCAGUUGUGUACGCAAUAUCCAGUGCACGCUGCUAGGCCAAAUAUACACAAGCAGAAGAAUUGAAGUCGCCUUAUCUAGUGGUGGGAUGGUCCAAACAAUUUGGCCAAAUGAUAAACCUAAUGACAUGAGACCAACAGUAUUGGAAAUCAUGAUGAAUUUGGAAAAAUAUCUGGAAUGAAGAUUGUGUUAACAUUGUACAGAAAAGGGAGAAGGACAACACCCUCUUUAGAUCUUCUGUGGAAAAAUUACAAUAUUACAGGACUGCUUUAAAACAUAGUGUCACAAUGUGUGCUGCAUGACCACAAGGGGAACAUUUUACAUGAAUAGAUAAAGAAUUUGCCUAUAU